RNAcentral lists this long non-coding RNA (823 nucleotides) under Prunus persica (peach). Its description in RNAcentral is "long non-coding RNA (PPER_LNC001661)". Lineage: Eukaryota; Viridiplantae; Streptophyta; Magnoliopsida; Rosales; Rosaceae. The record is from RNAcentral.
UCCAACUUUUCGCUGUCUGGAAUGUAGACUCCGUUCUUGAUGGAGCCGGCGAAGCCCAAGGGGUCGAAGAACUUGCCACCAGGGUAGCCUUGCUCUCCGGUGGCGUUGGCAAAGUUCUCCGAAGUCUUGGACCAAGGUGUGGCCCACUCAAUGGACUGGGACUCAGGGUUGUAGAAGUCCACCCAUCUUUUGCUUUCCACCCAACCCAUGAGCAAGAGCUGAGUGCCAAGCAGUGAGCCAAAGGAGAAGGGUGCUAUAGCGCUGGGGUCUGCCCCGGCUUCGAACCAUGGGACACCACUCCAGGCCUGGCCUACAAAGAUGCCGACCACGGCGGCCAUUGCCCACCGUCCGUGGAUGAGCUCAGCCUCUCUGUACCACUUUAGGAACCCUGGGUCCUUGCCUAGUCCUAGAGGGUCGAAACCGUAGUCACCUGGAAGCCUGCAUGCAUACAAUAUCAUAUAUUAUACUUCUUAUGGACAAAUCGAUAUUCUAAACUAUAUGUAUAUUAAUGUAUAUUAACAUGGUUGAUGGUUGAAAUGAGACUCACGAGCCAUCGAGCCACUCAGGAUCGAUGAAGUUGUUGCUGGCUUUAACGGCUGGGAUCCAAGACUUCUUAGGUGCAGCAGCAGCAACCACAAUGAACCUCUUAGGAGCAGCAGGGCCGCCUCCAACUCUGGUGGUUCCAAAACCAGCAGACAACAAGGCCUGGCUUCUCUUGCCUCCGCACAAGAAGGGUGAGUUCAACCCAUUAAGCACUGCACCAGUUGUUGCUGCCAUUUCCCUCUGUUUCUCUCUCUAGAUCUCUCUCACACUCUCUCUCUCU